Molecule: ribosomal RNA, 1527 nt
Filed under: Escherichia coli DEC8B
Lineage: Bacteria; Pseudomonadati; Pseudomonadota; Gammaproteobacteria; Enterobacterales; Enterobacteriaceae
Description: bacterial SSU rRNA
Rfam family: Bacterial small subunit ribosomal RNA
Source: RNAcentral
GAGUUUGAUCAUGGCUCAGAUUGAACGCUGGCGGCAGGCCUAACACAUGCAAGUCGAACGGUAACAGGAAGCAGCUUGCUGCUUUGCUGACGAGUGGCGGACGGGUGAGUAAUGUCUGGGAAACUGCCUGAUGGAGGGGGAUAACUACUGGAAACGGUAGCUAAUACCGCAUAACGUCGCAAGACCAAAGAGGGGGACCUUCGGGCCUCUUGCCAUCGGAUGUGCCCAGAUGGGAUUAGCUUGUUGGUGGGGUAACGGCUCACCAAGGCGACGAUCCCUAGCUGGUCUGAGAGGAUGACCAGCCACACUGGAACUGAGACACGGUCCAGACUCCUACGGGAGGCAGCAGUGGGGAAUAUUGCACAAUGGGCGCAAGCCUGAUGCAGCCAUGCCGCGUGUAUGAAGAAGGCCUUCGGGUUGUAAAGUACUUUCAGCGGGGAGGAAGGGAGUAAAGUUAAUACCUUUGCUCAUUGACGUUACCCGCAGAAGAAGCACCGGCUAACUCCGUGCCAGCAGCCGCGGUAAUACGGAGGGUGCAAGCGUUAAUCGGAAUUACUGGGCGUAAAGCGCACGCAGGCGGUUUGUUAAGUCAGAUGUGAAAUCCCCGGGCUCAACCUGGGAACUGCAUCUGAUACUGGCAAGCUUGAGUCUCGUAGAGGGGGGUAGAAUUCCAGGUGUAGCGGUGAAAUGCGUAGAGAUCUGGAGGAAUACCGGUGGCGAAGGCGGCCCCCUGGACGAAGACUGACGCUCAGGUGCGAAAGCGUGGGGAGCAAACAGGAUUAGAUACCCUGGUAGUCCACGCCGUAAACGAUGUCGACUUGGAGGUUGUGCCCUUGAGGCGUGGCUUCCGGAGCUAACGCGUUAAGUCGACCGCCUGGGGAGUACGGCCGCAAGGUUAAAACUCAAAUGAAUUGACGGGGGCCCGCACAAGCGGUGGAGCAUGUGGUUUAAUUCGAUGCAACGCGAAGAACCUUACCUGGUCUUGACAUCCACAGAACUUUCCAGAGAUGGAUUGGUGCCUUCGGGAACUGUGAGACAGGUGCUGCAUGGCUGUCGUCAGCUCGUGUUGUGAAAUGUUGGGUUAAGUCCCGCAACGAGCGCAACCCUUAUCCUUUGUUGCCAGCGGUCCGGCCGGGAACUCAAAGGAGACUGCCAGUGAUAAACUGGAGGAAGUGGGGAUGACGUCAAGUCAUCAUGGCCCUUACGACCAGGGCUACACACGUGCUACAAUGGCGCAUACAAAGAGAAGCGACCUCGCGAGAGCAAGCGGACCUCAUAAAGUGCGUCGUAGUCCGGAUUGGAGUCUGCAACUCGACUCCAUGAAGUCGGAAUCGCUAGUAAUCGUGGAUCAGAAUGCCACGGUGAAUACGUUCCCGGGCCUUGUACACACCGCCCGUCACACCAUGGGAGUGGGUUGCAAAAGAAGUAGGUAGCUUAACCUUCGGGAGGGCGCUUACCACUUUGUGAUUCAUGACUGGGGUGAAGUCGUAACAAGGUAACCGUAGGGGAACCUGCGGUUGGAUCACC